GCAGUGGCGAGUUUCUGUGAUCCAACGGUGGUGAUACCGGAAGAUGGAGGAUCCGGUCGAGCUGCGUUGACCAACAGACUGGUAGUCAACCCCAGCAACACCGCCCACACCAGCCUGUAAGACAAGUCAUGAUUAGAACUGGUUUACAUGCAACUUGGUUACUUUAGUUCUUCUUUUCUAAAGUUCAACUGAACCGGAGAACUUUCACUGCUUCAGGGGACAGAGUGAAGCAAUACAGAGAGACGUUUAUAACUUUGAAUUAUUAAGUGGUUCAACUCGUUAUCCCGACAGGAGAAAGCAAAUUUUUUACAUUACGCAACGAAUAAAAAAUAAUAAAGUGUCAGAAAAAAAGAAAAAUUAAGCUACGAUUUCUCCAAGAGUUAAAAUGUUAUAAAAAUGAAAAGUGGAACUUGGACUGGUGGGUAACAAAUCAAAUGAGUACAUGGCUAAUAAGGAGACACGUCCUGAGUUCACGCACCAUCGGUUUACCCCACUUUCUAAUCCGAACUUACGAAAGGAAAGUGAUAAUGUUAUUCAUUUUGACCUUGUUAUCAUCAUCAACAAUUUUUAUUCUAUUCAUUCAAUUUUUAUUACAAUCUAAAAGCUGAUUCAAUUCAUCUAGAGCUAUUGAUAUCAUUGAUAAAUGAUUGAAGUUCAUUGAAAGUUUGAAUUAUUCAAAUGAUAUCAAUAAAGGAGGGCAUUCAACAGAACGAAUACCACAAGAUCUCUUAUGAACAAACAAUGAUUGCCAUUUAAGAUAAUAUUUACUCGAUUACCAUAAAAAUUUUAAACUAAAAAUAAAUCCAUCUCUUUGUUUAUCAGCCUGCAUCAAAGGUCGCGUUCCACUUAGUUGCGAUAUUGAUAGAAUAAGUUGACACAUACGUGGGUGUUAAAUGUUAAAAAAAAUUGUUUGAUCGUGAAUCGCGAUGAACGGGUUGAAAUUCAAGACCCUUUCACUUUCUUGGGUGGUUUCAAGGCAAAAUCGUGACGCGGAAUAGGUUGACUUUAACAGUUAAGUACAUACAUGUCCACUAAAAGACGAAUGUCCACAUGCAUGUACUCAGAUAUGUUGCAAGCUUUGAUAGAAAUUCUUAAAAAAGAAUCAUAAUAUUUUUACCGUUCCCUUAUAAAUUUAUGACACAAAUAAACAUAACAGGUUUAUGAUCUGUAAAGACUACAUGGUCAUAAAUACUUGCAGAAGUUUAAAACUACUGCUGUUAAGCAUCACGUAACAGAUAAUUAAACUUUCAAAUAGAUUUAUUCAAUCGAUUCAAUGCUUCCUCAAAGUUUCUAAAGCCUAUCUACUAUCUUAAACCGUCAACUCUCUUACUUGUAAUAAAAAAAACGCUGUAAGAUGUCAUGAAAAUCAAUGAGAAAUUCUAAAAGUAUCUAAAUCAAAUGUCAAUGCUUGAAGUAAAUGAGAAAAAAUGUGAUUUCGCAACGUUCUAACCCAUGUAUUAACACUGAUUUAAAGAUAAAUUAUUUACGUAACGCGUAUCAGACUUCGAUAGUAGCUACUGUUGAGUGAUUUAAAAAAAAAAAAAUAAUCAUGAUAAUAGUAAUUAAAAACAAACACAUGAGUGAACAAACAAAAGACCUCCAACAAAAUAUCAACUAUAAGAGUACCAAUUAGCUUGUUCAGCAAAUUAUCAAGAAGAUAGCAAGAAUCAAAUUAUUUUUAUUGAUUAAUUUAAACUGAUAAAUACCAACUAAUUGAAAUUUUUUAAUAAGUAACUAAAUUAUUGAAAAAAACUACUAUUUAAAAAAUUACAAUUAUUAUUUAUAAAAGCGAUAAUUCUAGAUAACCGUUGGGUAAUUUAAAUAUUGUGAGCAUGAAUUAAUUAACAUUCAAAUUAUCAUGCCGUGGAUUGCAAUAAAUAUUUAUGUAAAAUUGUUUACUGGUGGUUGUUAAGCAAUUGUUUUGCUUGAACUUAUUAUUAUGAGUGUAAUAAGUGAUUAGUGUAAUAAAUUCCUAAUGGACUAAUGAAUAUAAGAAUUGUUAGUUAAUGAUAAAAAGUGAUUGAUUAAUGUAAAAAAAAGAUAUCUCAAUGACUUACAUGAUGUUAAAGG
This is a long non-coding RNA of Chelonus insularis, 2070 nucleotides long. RefSeq lists it as uncharacterized. The record is from RefSeq and is a predicted model, not a curated record. The transcript is spliced from 4 exons. Lineage: Eukaryota; Metazoa; Arthropoda; Insecta; Hymenoptera; Braconidae.